Molecule: transfer RNA, 20 nt
Filed under: Zabrus flavangulus
Lineage: Eukaryota; Metazoa; Arthropoda; Insecta; Coleoptera; Carabidae
Description: partial tRNA-Leu
Source: RNAcentral
UCUAAUAUGGCAGAUUAAUG